Molecule: long non-coding RNA, 786 nt
Organism: Alligator mississippiensis (American alligator)
Lineage: Eukaryota; Metazoa; Chordata; Crocodylia; Alligatoridae
Exons: 3
Source: RefSeq, a predicted model, not a curated record
UCGAUGAGAUGCUCCCUAACAUCUGCUCCUCAGCAUCCCAGUGUAGUUCUGUGACCACAGGCCGGCUGGCUGCCCUGCCCCUGGAAAAAGGUGAUCAGUGGAAGGAAGAAGCCCCUCUCAAGAUUAAGUCUCUCACCAUUUUGUCAAAACAGACCAGUUUUUGCUUGGAAGAGCAUGCAGUACAAAACACUGGAUCCUGAUCAUCGGGAAGCAAUACAUAGCCUUUUUCUCCCAAUAGACUGAGUUCUCUUACAGAAAACCAUGUCAACGUCUAAUUGACAUUGAUAGCACAAAAAGUGUGAUUGACUGACAGGCUUUAAUGGAAGAGAGCUGGAUAAAACCACAUAAGCUCUCAAUAGCACCAUUUUAAUUUCUUCCUGAAGAUGGAGGAUAAGAAGGAACACUCUCUGCCAUCACUUCCCAAAGAAGCCACACCACCUACUUCAGUGAGAACAGCAAAAUCUUGUGGGAAGAGGGAGGUGUCAACAAGCUAAUACUUCUUUUAUCACCGGUUUGUGGCAUUGGGCUCAGUGGAUUGAAGAAUACCCAAAACCGCCUCUAUUCUGGGGCAUAAAGAAGACAAUAGAUGAGAGAGACCUGUAAGAUCUGCACUGUGUUGCACAACGUGGGGGAGCAGGUCUCAAGUGAUAAAAUCUCCAGGAUGAAUAACCUUUUUACAAUGAGUGGAGCAUAUUAAAAAGUCUAGAGCUGGUUCUGAAUGUCUGUUGGAAUUGCUUGCCUAAGUCCAAUAAAACCUUUUACCUGGGUGUUCAAGACUUCAAUCAA